This 26-nucleotide non-coding RNA is filed under the name Rattus norvegicus (Norway rat). The record is from RNAcentral. Lineage: Eukaryota; Metazoa; Chordata; Mammalia; Rodentia; Muridae.
UGAUGACCACAUGCUUACCCUCCAGU